ACUUUAGAAAGACAAAGAGUUUCAGUAAAUAGUAAACUCUAGCCUCCAUUUGAUUCUGACCUAUCAGAUUUCGUAUGUAGUAUAUAGGACUACAUUGUACGACAACGGGUACGGAGAAUUAGAGUUUGAUUCCGGAGAAAACGCUUGAGAGACGGCGAUUAUUUCUAAGGAAAGCAGCAGGUGCGCAAAUUAUUCAAUCAGAGAUGCAAUCUGGAGAUAGUGAAAAGAAAUAGGAAUGCUUAUUAGAUCGAAAGAUCUUGAGCAAUCUAAUGAAUUAAAGUUGAAAAGAUUAUUAUGAGUAACAAAUGGAGGGGCAAGUCUGGUGCCAGCAGCCGCGGUAAUUCCAGCUCCAUGAAUAUAUAUCAGAGUUGUUGUAGUUAAAAAGCUCGUAGUUGAAACUUGAAUCUUUUCUCUUCUGUUUUAUAGAAAUAUAAGGAGAUGGAGGAUUGAUUUUUUAAUUGUGAAGGUGAUAGAGUGCUUGUGGGAG
Molecule: ribosomal RNA, 487 nt
Filed under: uncultured eukaryote
Lineage: Eukaryota
Description: bacterial SSU rRNA
Rfam family: Eukaryotic small subunit ribosomal RNA
Source: RNAcentral